SUUGUGCGAGUCAUGGGUCUCGAAUAAGCCCAGAGGCGCAAUGAAAGCGAAGCCGGAGGACUCCGGCCGUGUCGGGAUCCCCGCCCCUUUGCGUGCGGGGCGCACCGACGACCCGCCUUGAUCCUCUCGUGGAUGAGGCGGAGUCUGAGCGCACACGUUGUGACCCGAAAGAUGGUGAACUAUGCCCGGACAGGACGAAGCCAGAGGAAACUCUGGUGGAGGUCCGUAGCGGUUCUGACGUGCAAAUCGAUCGUCAGAUCUGGGUCUAG
Molecule: ribosomal RNA, 269 nt
Filed under: Incestophantes kochiellus
Lineage: Eukaryota; Metazoa; Arthropoda; Arachnida; Araneae; Linyphiidae
Description: partial 28S ribosomal RNA
Rfam family: Eukaryotic large subunit ribosomal RNA
Source: RNAcentral